Molecule: ribosomal RNA, 462 nt
Filed under: uncultured bacterium
Lineage: Bacteria
Description: bacterial SSU rRNA
Rfam family: Bacterial small subunit ribosomal RNA
Source: RNAcentral
GUACGGGAGGCAGCAGUUAAGAAUCUUGCGCAAUGGGGGAAACCCUGACGCAGCGACGCCGCGUGGACGAUGAAGGCCUUCGGGUUGUAAAGUCCAAUAAGCAGGGAAGAAUAAGCAACGGGUAAUAUUCGUUGUGAUGACGGUACCUGCCUAAAGCCCCGGCUAACUACGUGCCAGCAGCCGCGGUAAUACGUAUGGGGCUAGCGUUGUUCGGAAUUAUUGGGCGUAAAGGGCGUCUAGGCGGGGGAUUAAGUUGGGUGUGAAAUCCCUGGGCUCAACCCAGGAACUGCAUCCAAAACUGGUUCUCUUGAGUUCGGGAGAGGAGAGCGGAAUUCCCGGUGUAGCGGUGAAAUGCGUAGAUAUCGGGAAGAACACCAGUGGCGAAGGCGGCUCUCUGGCCUAGAACUGACGCUGAAGCGCGAAAGCGUGGGGAGCGAACGGGAUUAGAUACCCCAGUAGUCC